This 351-nucleotide transfer-messenger RNA is filed under the name Oscillospiraceae. Its description in RNAcentral is "Limivicinus sp934573855 Standard tmRNA". It matches the Rfam family "transfer-messenger RNA". Rfam says of the family: Bacterial tmRNA, also known as 10Sa RNA or SsrA, is named for its dual tRNA and mRNA-like properties. Its role is to liberate the mRNA from a stalled ribosome. The record is from RNAcentral. RNAcentral also lists the same sequence under 1 other name. Lineage: Bacteria; Bacillati; Bacillota; Clostridia; Eubacteriales.
GGGGGUGUACUGGUUUCGACGGGGGUGCGGAGGCAGAAAUAGCGGGCGGAUGCGCCUGACAUCCAUAAAACGGGCAAACUUUUAUAAAUUAAAGAACAACGAUAAUUCUGUUCUUCUCGCUGCAUAAUUAGCGAGCGUUCCACCCGGGAGGACCACGGCCCGGGAUGGGGCGUCGACAAGUGGUGAACGUGCGCACGCAAAGCUUUGAGCGGGCCAUGUAUAAUGAAGCUACCAAGCCCUGCAGCGUGACGGCCUGCGGCGGGGCGAGGGAAUGUAAAUGACCGUCUGCGCCCGGAGAAGUUUCUGUUAAAGUGCUUUCGGACGGGGGUUCGAUUCCCCCCAUCUCCACCA